This 253-nucleotide ribosomal RNA is filed under the name uncultured bacterium. RNAcentral's name for it is "partial 16S ribosomal RNA". It matches the Rfam family "Bacterial small subunit ribosomal RNA", at positions 524 to 776 of the family's 1533-position model. The record is from RNAcentral.
UACGUAGGGUGCGAGCGUUGUCCGGAAUUAUUGGGCGUAAAGAGCUCGUAGGCGGCCUGUCGCGUCGGAUGUGAAAGCCCGGGGCUUAACCCCGGGUCUGCAUUCGAUACGGGCAGGCUAGAGUGUGGUAGGGGAGAUCGGAAUUCCUGGUGUAGCGGUGAAAUGCGCAGAUAUCAGGAGGAACACCGAUGGCGAAGGCAGGUCUCUGGGCAUUAACUGACGCUGAGGAGCGAAAGCAUGGGGAGCGAACAGG